CACCUCUGAGCAUCUACAGAUCUUGCAAUUUGUAGAUAGCAUUUGCCUUCCGAAAAGUUUCCUUGAGACCAUGUGAGUCUGAAGAUAAAUUGUUUAAUAGUGAAUGUUGUUAUAUUUAUGCAAGUUGGAUGCUAUUAAAAAUUUCUUAUUUCCCAUUUUGGGAAUGAAUUGUGCUUUAUACUAGCUGUUAGAGAAAUAUUGGAACACAGUGUGCAUGAUAGUUCUUUUUAGAAUACGUAAAGAACUUUGUAUCCCGAUGAACUCACGAAAAAAGAGAUUUGGAAUUAUGUCCAAGCCUAAAGAAGGGCCAUGCCUAAAAUAGAAUUCCGCACCCCUUUCUAAUAUUACUAACGGGUUGAUGUUGUUGCACGUCGUGGCGGGGACGGCCGUGUAGCAGCCGUAUGUGCACUGCUUGUGCGGGGCGCCAAUCUGGAGGCCCCUGAUCCGAAGGGAAGCCACUGGAGCUGCUGUGGGAGAUGGUGGCGGUACGCUGGUAGAGCUGGGAGCAUACGUGGAGGGGCUGGACCUACUGGUCCUUGAAGGUGCUGAUAUACAUAGGUGCUUUGAGAAAAAAAUCAGUUAG
Molecule: long non-coding RNA, 583 nt
Filed under: Triticum aestivum (bread wheat)
Lineage: Eukaryota; Viridiplantae; Streptophyta; Magnoliopsida; Poales; Poaceae
Description: long non-coding RNA (TAES_LNC026279)
Source: RNAcentral